Molecule: ribosomal RNA, 483 nt
Filed under: uncultured bacterium
Lineage: Bacteria
Description: partial 16S ribosomal RNA
Rfam family: Bacterial small subunit ribosomal RNA
Source: RNAcentral
AUUGAACGCUGGCGGCGGGCCUAACACAUGCAAGUCGAGCGGAUGAAGGGAGCUUGCUCCUGGAUUCAGCGGCGGACGGGUGAGUAAUGCCUAGGAAUCUGCCUGGUAGUGGGGGAUAACGUCCGGAAACGGGCGCUAAUACCGCAUACGUCCUGAGGGAGAAAGUGGGGGAUCUUCGGACCUCACGCUAUCAGAUGAGCCUAGGUCGGAUUAGCUAGUUGGUGGGGUAAAGGCCUACCAAGGCGACGAUCCGUAACUGGUCUGAGAGGAUGAUCAGUCACACUGGAACUGAGACACGGUCCAGACUCCUACGGGAGGCAGCAGUGGGGAAUAUUGGACAAUGGGCGAAAGCCUGAUCCAGCCAUGCCGCGUGUGUGAAGAAGGUCUUCGGAUUGUAAAGCACUUUAAGUUGGGAGGAAGGGCAGUAAGUUAAGACCUUGCUGUUUUGACGUUACCAACAGAAUAAGCACCGGCUAACUUCGU